UUUCCGUAGGUGAACCUGCGGAAGGAUCAUUACCGAGUGUCGGGCCCUCCUGGGUCCACCCUCCCACCCGUGUUUACCGUCCCUUGUUUCUUCGGCGGCCCCGCCCACUGGGGCGGCCAGGGGGCCCUCGCGCCGCCAUGUUCGCGCGCGCCGGUGACGUCCAAGCGAAAAAUGGGUGAAGGUUGCCGACGGAGUGGAUCUUUCCGAUAGUUAAAACUUUCAACAACGGAUCUCUUGGUUCCG
RNAcentral lists this unclassified non-coding RNA (243 nucleotides) under plant metagenome. RNAcentral's name for it is "partial contains small subunit ribosomal RNA, internal transcribed spacer 1, and 5.8S ribosomal RNA". The record is from RNAcentral.